RNAcentral lists this ribosomal RNA (441 nucleotides) under uncultured bacterium. Its description in RNAcentral is "partial 16S ribosomal RNA". It matches the Rfam family "Bacterial small subunit ribosomal RNA", at positions 338 to 795 of the family's 1533-position model. The record is from RNAcentral.
CCUACGGGAGGCAGCAGUGGGGAAUAUUGCACAAUGGGGGAAACCCUGAUGCAGCGACGCCGCGUGAGUGAAGAAGUAUCUCGGGAUGUAAAGCUCUAUCAGCAGGGAAGAAGAAAGACGGUACUUUACUAAGAAGCCCCGGCUAACUACGUGCCAGCAGCCGCGGUAAUACGUAGGGGGCAAGCGUUAUCCGGAUUUACUGGGUGUAAAGGGAGCGUAGACGGCUGUGCAAGUCUGAAGUGAAAGCCCAGGGCUCAACCCUGGGACUGCUUUUGAAACUGUGGAGCUAGAGUGCUGGAGAGGUAAGUGGAAUUCCUGGUGUAGCGGUGAAAUGCGUAGAUAUUAGGAGGAACACCAGUGGCGAAGGCGGCUUACUGGACAGUAACUGACGUUGAGGCUCGAAAGCGUGGGGAGCAAACAGGAUUAGAUACCCCUGUAGUC